CCUACGGGAGGCAGCAGUGAGGAAUAUUGGUCAAUGGGCUUACGCCUGAACCAGCCAAGUCGCGUGAGGGAAGACUGCCCUAUGGGUUGUAAACCUCUUUUGUCAGGGAGCAACGCAGGCUACGUGUAGCCGGACUGAGAGUACCUGAAGAAAAAGCAUCGGCUAACUCCGUGCCAGCAGCCGCGGUAAUACGGAGGAUGCGAGCGUUAUCCGGAUUUAUUGGGUUUAAAGGGUGCGUAGGCGGAAUGCGAAGUCAGCGGUAAAAUCGCGGGGCUCAACCUCGCUCCGCCGUUGAAACUGGCGUUCUUGAGUGGGCGAGAAGUAUGCGGAAUGCGUGGUGUAGCGGUGAAAUGCAUAGAUAUCACGCAGAACUCCGAUUGCGAAGGCAGCAUACCGGCGCCCGACUGACGCUGAGGCACGAAAGCGUGGGGAUCGAACAGGAUUAGAUACCCUAGUAGUC
RNAcentral lists this ribosomal RNA (460 nucleotides) under uncultured bacterium. Its description in RNAcentral is "partial 16S ribosomal RNA". It matches the Rfam family "Bacterial small subunit ribosomal RNA", at positions 338 to 795 of the family's 1533-position model. The record is from RNAcentral.